Phascolarctos cinereus (koala) is the source of this 1431-nucleotide non-coding RNA. NCBI's taxonomy places the organism in Eukaryota, Metazoa, Chordata, Mammalia, Diprotodontia, Phascolarctidae. The record is from RefSeq and is a predicted model, not a curated record.
UGGAAUACAAUUUUUUUCUCUCUGUGGAAUACAAGUAUUUUGGUUUUUAUUUUUUGUGCUUUGGGUUUUUUUGGUGCUGGAAGAUCUCAUCCUCCUCCUUGGUUGGAAUACAAAAUUUACUGUUUGUGGAAUACAAGUUUUUUUGGGGUGUUUUUGUUUGGUGCUUGGAAGAUCUCAUCAUUUUUCAGGGUGUGGAAUACCUUUGUGGAAUACAAGCUUUUUGGGUUUGUAUGAUGCUUGGAAGAUCUAAUCCUUUUUGGUUUGUGGAAUACAAAUGUUUUUUGGGGGGUUUUUUUGGUGGCUGGCAUUGGUAAGUGGAAUUGGUGUUGGUAAGUGGGAACAUCCUACUUCAUUUAGGUAAGUCCCAAUUUUUCUCUUGAUAUUUGGAAUAUGUAAAUAUUCUAGAGUAUCCCUGGGCAGGGUAGGGCGAAGGAAUACCACAUCUGUCUACAAGACAGAAGUCUCCACUUAGCGGAAACUAUUGCAGAGUAAGAGGAAAAUUAUACUUAAGGCAUUAUUCCCCAUCCUUUUUUAUAAAGCUGAAAGUAAUAGUACUGGAUUUGGAAUCAGGUGGAAUGAAGAUGCUCUUGGUUUGAAUCUCUACUCUGUCACCUGGACAGUGUCUACAUGACAAGUAGUCUCCACUUAGGGGAAAGUAUAUUGCAAAGUAAGAGGAAAAAUGUUAUACUCAGAACAUGACUUCACCCACCUUUAUAAAGCUGAAAGUAACAUUACAGUAUUUUGAAUCAGGUAGAAAGUCCUUGCUUUAAUUCUCUGGUCUGUCAUUUUUCUCUAGACCUCCAUUUACUCAUUUUUAACACGAGUUGAGAUUUAGUUGACCUUUGAGGUCCCUUCCACCUCAAUUCUGUGAAUGUCAAACUUUCAGCAGUCUACAGUAAAAGACAUGUUUAAAUAUAAAAAUAGCCUUUCCAGCCCUUAUGACUGUGUAUUAAUAUGUAUAAUUUGUUUUCUAGGUGUGGUGCAAGCCCUGCAUGGAAGCACUCAAGCAGCCCUCCAGGUCAUUGGUUGGAUCCUUUCAUUGUGGACUUCUGGACCAGAAUCAUCCAUGUUGAAGUCACAACCCAGACCCACUGCUGAGGACACCUACCACACCUUGCUGCCCCGUGACCAGAGAAGAAUACGGAGAAGAUGACUUUUCACCAAGAAAACCUUUUGUUAAUUAAUUUCUUCAAUAAUUAUAUGUCUUUUAUCAUAACUACAAAUCACCUCCAAAGACUGUAAGCUUCAAGAGGGCAGGCUAUUUAUUAAUCUCUGAAUUUGGACCACAUUUUGUUAGUUUCCCCUCCUUCCUUGUUUAUAUCAUGCUUUUGUGAACUCCCUUGGUGCUUCAGCAGAACCACCACUUGCUGCUUUCCUCACCUUUCCCCCCAGAUCAUGUACCCUGAAUAAAUGGUUUCUUUUUAAAAAAAC